CAUCAUCAUCAUCAUUAAUUAUCGUUAUUAUUAUUAUCAUCAUCAUCAUCAUUAUAAUAAUAAAGGACCCAUUUGCAAAUAAUACAAAACAUUUGAGUAUUUUCAUAAAUUCUUUAGGGAUCAAAAUGAAAAAAAUGACAUAAUUUGAUUGAGGGUGCUUUUUGGGAAUUAUGAAAAUUUAAUGGGGGCAAAGUAGGUAGUUUUGGGAACCAAAAUUUGAUUCCCAACUCUCCUUGGGAAUGAUUUCCAAAUUUGUGGGUCUUUCAUGAUUUCAAUUUCGAUUCCCACUCUUAUUUUGUGAAGUAAACAUUGUUAAUAAUUUUGAUUCUAGAUUUCGAUUUCUUAAUUAGGGAAGCAAACACACCCUUAAUGAAUUGGGAUGUAUACUUUUCUUCAUGUGUUGGGUGAAAUUUAUUGAAAGAAUUCAAGUGAAAGCUUAGCCGUUGAUUUCAGGAUCACGGAAGAGUUGCAAAGUACUUCAAUCAUAUAAUGUUUACCACCCAUUUCAGAAUGUCGAUUGCGCUCUCAGUUCUAUAGUAUAUGAUUUAAUAUUACUUAAUAACAAAGACACAAAGAGAGUAGUAGGAGCCUUCAUUAUUUUUUUUCCCAGAAUUUUGGGAGCAUGACCAGCUGCCAUAUGUGAUUUGGGAAUGGAUUGUGUAGAAAUGCCUGAAAAUGGGAUACACAAACAUGCAACCAAUACCUCUCUGAUUGGUGGGGUAAUCUUUUGGUAUUGUAGAAAAAAAUCAUUCUAUUCAUGGAUUUGGAAAUGGGUAUUGAAGAUUGUUAGCAUCGCAACUGGGAUCGAAGUGUUCAAGUUAGCAUUCCAUUCAUAGCUUCCUAGGUUCCUCUUCAGUGCAGAUAUAGAGAUCAAAGUGUUCGAGUUAGCAUUGAAACUUCUAAGAUAUUCCUGGAAAUUUCAAUUACAUUUCCUUAAGUUUAUCAAACCCUCCCUAAAGUAGUUAAAAAUUAUUCAUGGUUAAGUUACAAAUAGUCUAGAAAGACUUAAAUUAGACAAUGAUUAUGUGACUCAUAAGUAAUUUUUUUUUUCUUCACUCGAAACUUGUUUUUUCCCUUAUCAAUAUUUUAAUUUAUCUAAUACAAAAGAGCAAGUUGGCAAUCAUUAGGUUAGGAUCAAGUACUUUGCAAAUUUUUUGUUUUGGAACUGAGCGGAUGUUGAUGCCCUAAAUAUUCAAUAGUAACUAAGUUUUGUUGUAAUUGAAAAUUAUUGCUCACAUAGAGGUUUCUGAACAAGCUGCGAAAAAAAAAAAAUAACAAUGGAAAAAUUAUCUAUCCACCAUCUUUGUUUUGUCAUAAGUACAUAUAAUCACUAUAAAAUUUUCAUUGUUUUUGUUUUUAAACUUGUAUCAAUCAAUUACUUUGAUACUAACAAAAAUUAGAAUUUGGUAAAUAAUUUAAAUAAAAUGACAUUUUUAGCCCUAAAUCAAUUAAAAGAUCAUUUUAUCC
This 1467-nucleotide long non-coding RNA is filed under the name Citrus x clementina. Its description in RNAcentral is "Citrus clementina (C. clementina) long non-coding RNA (CCLE_LNC000199)". Lineage: Eukaryota; Viridiplantae; Streptophyta; Magnoliopsida; Sapindales; Rutaceae. The record is from RNAcentral.